This is a long non-coding RNA of Ornithodoros turicata, 5205 nucleotides long. RefSeq lists it as uncharacterized. The record is from RefSeq and is a predicted model, not a curated record. NCBI's taxonomy places the organism in Eukaryota, Metazoa, Arthropoda, Arachnida, Ixodida, Argasidae. The transcript is spliced from 3 exons.
UCAACGUUACAACAGACGUCUUCAGGUGACUCUAGACUGCUUCAGGUGACUUCAGACCUCUUCAUGCCUCUUCAGGUGACUCCAGACGUCUUCAGGUGACUUUAAGUAACUCCAGACGUCCUCAGGUGACUCCAAACAUCUUCAGAUGACUUCAGGUGACUCCAGACGUCUUCAUGGGGCUUCAGGUGACUCUAGACGUCCUCAGGUGACUCCAGGCUUCUUCAGGUGACUCCAUACUUCAAGUGACUUCAGACCUCUCCAGGUGACUUCAGGUAACUUCAAGAGACCUCAGACGUCUUCAGGUGGCCCCAUGUGACUGCAGACCUCUUCAGGUGACUCUAGACGUCUUCACGUGACUUCGAGUGACUUCAGACGACUUUAGGUGACUUCAGACGUCUUCACGUGACCUCAGGUUACUCCAGAUCUCUUCAGAUGACUUAAGGCGACUUUAGGUGUCUUCAGGUGACUUCAGGUGACUCCAGAGUUCUUCAUGUGACUUCAAACUGCUUCAGGUGACUUCACCUAACUUCAAGAGACUUUAGACGCCUUCAGGUGACUCCAGACGUAUCCAGACGUCGUCAGGUGAUUCCAGACAUCUUCAGGAGACUCCAGACAUCCUCAGGUGACUCCACAUAACUUCAACAGACUUCAGACGACUUCGGGUGACUCCAAACGUGUUCACGUGACUUGACACGUCUUCAGAGGACUUCAGACGUCUUUAGGUGACUCCGGACGUCUUCAUGUGAUUAAGGUGGCUCUAGAUGUCUUCUGGUGACUCCAGACCUCUACAGGUGACUUCAUGUAACUUCAAGAGAUUUCAGAGGGUUUUGGGUGGCUCCAGUUCACUUCAGACGCCUUCAUGUGAUGCCAGACGUCUUCAGGUGACUUCAAGUGACGCGAAACCUCCUCGGGUGAGUCCAGACGUCUUUAGGUGACUUCAGGUGACUCCAAACAUUUUCAGGUGACUUGAGACGUCUUUAGGUGACUACAGACGUCUUCAGGUGACUUCAAGUCUUCACAAGCCUUCAGGUGACUUGAGGUGACUUCAUGUGACUGCAGACGUCUUCAGGUGACUUCAUGUGACUGCAGACGUCUUCAGGUGACUUCAGCUGAAAGGUGUCAUCAUGUGACCUAAAGUUACUCUAGAUGUCUUCAGGUGACUUCAUGUGACUUUAAACGACCCCAGACGUCUUCAGGUGACCCCAAACAUCUUCAGAUGACUUCAAGUUACGUCUGACGUCUUCACGUGGCUCCAGACGCCUUCAGAUGACUCCAGAGUUCUUCAAAUGACUUCAGACCUCUUCAGGUGACUUCAAGAGACUUCAGACGUCUUUAGGUGGCUCCAGGUGUCUUGAGACGCAUUCAGAUGAACUCAGGCGACUUCAAGUGACUCCAAAUGUCUGCAGGUGACUUGAGGUGACUUCAUAUCUCUUCAGGUGACUUCAAACAUCUUCACGGGACUCCAGGUGUGUUUGGGUGACUCCAGACGUCUUUAGGUGACUUCAUGUGACUCCAGACGUCUUCAGGUGACUUCAGGAAACUCCAGACGUCAGACGUCUUCACGGGACUUCAGACGUCUUCAUGGGACCUAAGGUGAAUGUAGACGUCUUCAGGUGACUCCAGACUUCUUCAGGUGACUCGAGACUGCUUCAAGUGACUUCAGACGUCUUCAGGUGAUUUCAGGUAACUUGAAGAGACUUUAGGCGUCUUCAGGUGGCUCCAGGUGAAUUUAGACGCCUUCAGGUGACUCCAAACGUCUUCAAAUGACUUGAGGUGACUUCAGACGUCUUCAGGUGACCUCAAGUUACUUCAGGCGCCUUCAAGUGACUCCAGACAUAUUUGGGUAACUCCAUGUGACUCUAGACGUCUUCAGGUGACUUUAGAUGUCUUCAGAUGACUUCAGGUGGCUCCAAACUUCUUCAAGUGAUUUCACUUCAAGAGUCUUCAGACGUCAUCAGGUGACUCCAGGUGACUUUAGACGCCUUCAGGUGACUUCAGGCGACUCCAAACGUCUCAGAUGACUUCAAGUGACUUCAGACGUCUUCAGGUGACUCCAGACGUCUUUGGGUGACUCCAUGUGACUUCAGACGUCUUCAGGUGGCUCCAGGUGACUUUAGACGCCUUCAGGUGACUUCAAGUGACUUCAGACGGCUUCAGCUGACUCCAGACGUCUUUGGGUGACUCCAUGUGACUCCAGACGUCUUCAGAGGACUUCAAGUGACUCCAAACGUUUUCAGGUGACUUCAGAUGUCUUCAGGUAACUCCAGACGUUUUCAGGUGACUCCAGACGUCAGACAUCUUCACGUGACUCGAGACAUUUUCUUGUGACUUAAGGUGACUCCAGACGUCAGACGUCUUCGUUUGAUUCCAGACGUUUUCAGGUGGUAUCACGUGACUCUAGACGUCUUAAGGUGGCUUCACUUGACUCCAGACGUCUUCAGGUGACUUUUAGGUGUCUCGAGACGUCUUCAGGCGGCCUAACGUGACCUUAAACCUGUUCGGGUGGCUCUGGACGUUUUCACGUGAUUUCAGGUGACAGCAGACGACUUCAGGUGACUUCAAACUUCUUCAGACGAUUUCACGUGACCUAACAUGACUUCAAACCUCUUGAGGUGACUCCAGACCUAAUGACCUCCUGGCCUAAUGUGACUUCAGACGUCUUCAGGUGGCUUGACGUGAUUUCAGAAGUCUUCAGGUAACUCUAGACGUCUUCACGUGACUUCAGAUGACUUCAUGCGACUCCAGACGUCUUCGUGUGACUUAAGGUGACUCAAUACCUCUUCAGGUGGCUUAACGUGACUUCAUACCUCUUCGGAUGACUCUAGACGUCUUCACUUGACUUCAGGUGACACCAAACGACUUCAGGUGACUCCAGACAUUUUCAGGUGACUUAAGGUUACCUCAGGUGACUCCAGAUGACUCCAGACGCCUUCAGGUGACUGCAGACCACUUCAGGUGAUUUCAGGCAACUUCAAGCGUCUUCAGACGUCUUCACGUGGCUCAAGGUGAAUUCAGACGUCUUCUGAUGACUCUAAACGUCUUCGGGUGACGUCUUUUUGUGACUUCAUAGUCAUAAGGUGACUCCAGACGUCUUCAGGUGACUCCAGACGUGUUCAGGUGGCUUAAGGUGACUUCAUGUGACUCCAGACGUCUUCAGGUGGCUUCAGGUGACUCCAAACGUCUUCAAAUGACUUGAGGUGAACCAGAAGUCUUCAGGUGACCCCAGACGUCUCUGGGUGGCCUAAGGUGACUUCAGACGUCUUCAGGUGGCCUGACGUGACUUCAGACGUCUUUAGUUGACUCUAGACGUCCUCACGUGACUUCAGAUGACUUCAUGCGACUCCAGACGUUUUCAUGUCACUUAAGGUGGCUGGAGAUGUCUUCGGGUGACUCUGUGUGACUCCAAACGUCUUCAGGUGACUUCAAGUGGCUCCAGGUGAUUUCAAGUGACUCCAAACCUGUUUAGCUGACUCCAGCCAUCUUCAUAUGACUUCAGGUGACUCCAGACGUGUUCAGGUGACAUCAGACGUGUUCAGGUGACAUCAGACGUCUUCAGGUGAAAUCAGGCGUCUUCAGGUAAUUGUAAACUUCUUCAGAUGACUUCAAGUGACUCCAGACAUCUUCAUGUGACUGAAGGUGACUCAAGACCUCUUCAGGUGACUCUGUGUGACUCCAGACGUCUUUGGGUGACUCCAGAUGAUUCCAGACGUCUUUAGGUGACUCCAGACGUUUACAGGUUACUUAAGGUGACUUCAUGUGAUUCCAGACAUGUUCAGGUGACUGAAGGUAACUGAAGACCUCUUCAGGUGACUCCAGACGUCUUCGGGUGACUCCAUGUGACCCAAGACGUCUUCAAGUGACCUCAGGUGACUCUAGACGUCUCCAGGUGCCUCCAGAUGACUCUAAACGUCUUAAGGUGGCUUAAUGUGACUUGAGACCUCUUCAGGUGACUCUAGACGUCUUCACGUGGCUUCAGGUGACUCAAGACGACUUCAGGUGACUCAAGACGUCUUCAGGUAGCUGCAGGUUACUCCAGACGUCUUCAGGUGGCUUCAGUUGACUCCAGACGUCUUCAGGUGUGUUAAGGUGACUUCAGACCAGUUGGCUUAACGUGCCCUCAGACCUCUUCGGGUAGCUGUGGAAGUCACUGACUUCAGGUGACACCAGACGACUUCAGGUGACUCCAGAGAUCUUCAGGUGACUCUAAACGUCUUCAGACGACUUCAGGUGACUUAAGACGUCUUCAGGUCACUUCAGGAGACUCUAGACGUCUUCAGGUGACUCCACAUGACUCCAGAUGUCUUCAGGUACUCCAGAUGUCUUCAGGUACUCCAGAUGACUCCAGAAUUCUUCAGGUGACUUAAGGUGACUUUAGACGUCUUCAGGUGCCUUAACGUGACUUCAGACCUCUUCAGGUGACUGUAGACGUCUUCACGUGACUUCAGGUGACCCCAGCCGGCUUAAGAUGACUUCAGGUGAUUUCAGUUUUCUUCAGGUUACUUAAGGGGACUUUAUGUGACUCCAGACGUGCUGAUGUCUCCACACGUCUUCAAGUCACUUCAGGUGACUUCAGACGUCUUCACGUGACUUAAGGAGACGCUAGACAUCUUCAGGUGACUUUAGGUGACUCCAGACGUCUUCAGGUGACUUCAGACCUUUUUAGGUGUCUUCAGGUAACUCCAAGAGACUUCAGACGUCUUCAGGUGACUACAAACAUUUUUGGAUGACUUGAGGUGAAUUCACGUGACUUCAGACGUUUUCAAGCAACUUCAGACGUCUUCGGGUGGCUCCAUGUGACUCCAGACGUAUUCAGGUGUCUUCAGACGUCUUCAGGUGACUCCACCUUGUUAGCUAGAAUCUUACACGUAUAAGCUAUGUGGAUUUAGCCGGUUGGUUGCUAUCGGUUUAUUACUCACCGAGUUAUCGCGUCAUGAAAUUUUGCAUAAUUUCGUUGCAUCGUAAAUUUUGACCUGGCUACCAAACCGAACUUACAGACGUUUUCACGUCAAAAAGAGAUAGAAAGAGAACUGAAGGUGCCUCCGUGAUGCUUAAUACAACCGGUGCAGCGAAUGUAAUCGCUUUUAUGUUCCUCAUUGAACGUUGAGUGGCGUGCAGCUUUUAUUGUUCAUUAACAUCAAUGUAGAUUAAAAAGCCUAUGUCUCCUAAUAUCAACAAAUCAGCCGAAUGGCACUUGGUCGGCUAUAA